GUGAGGAAUAUUGGUCAAUGGGCGGGAGCCUGAACCAGUCAAGUCGCGUGAAGGAAGAAGGAUCUAUGGUUCGUAAACUUCUUUUGCAGGGGAAUAAAGUGCAGGACGUGUCCUGUUUUGUAUGUACCCUGAGAAUAAGGAUCGGCUAACUCCGUGCCAGCAGCCGCGGUAAUACGGAGGAUCCGAGCGUUAUCCGGAUUUAUUGGGUUUAAAGGGUGCGUAGGUGGUUUGAUAAGUCAGCGGUGAAAGUUUGCAGCUUAACUGUAAAAAUGCCGUUGAAACUGUCGGACUUGAGUGUAAAUGAGGUAGGCGGAAUGCGUGGUGUAGCGGUGAAAUGCAUAGAUAUCACGCAGAACUCCGAUUGCGAAGGCAGCUUACUAAGCUACAACUGACACUGAAGCACGAAAGCGUGGGGAUCAAACAGGAUUAGAUACCCCGGUAGUCC
RNAcentral lists this ribosomal RNA (445 nucleotides) under uncultured bacterium. RNAcentral describes it as "partial 16S ribosomal RNA". It matches the Rfam family "Bacterial small subunit ribosomal RNA", at positions 354 to 796 of the family's 1533-position model. The record is from RNAcentral.